AAACUUUCAACAACGGAUCUCUUGGUUCUGGCAUCGAUGAAGAACGCAGCGAAAUGCGAUAAGUAAUGUGAAUUGCAGAAUUCAGCGAAUCAUCGAAUCUUUGAACGCACAUUGCGCCCGCCAGCAUUCUGGCGGGCAUGCCUGUUCGAGCGUCAUAU
Molecule: ribosomal RNA, 158 nt
Filed under: Simplicillium lanosoniveum
Lineage: Eukaryota; Fungi; Ascomycota; Sordariomycetes; Hypocreales; Cordycipitaceae
Description: 5.8 S ribosomal RNA
Rfam family: 5.8S ribosomal RNA
About the family: 5.8S ribosomal RNA (5.8S rRNA) is a component of the large subunit of the eukaryotic ribosome.
Source: RNAcentral